GGCGACGUGCCCGAGUGGUUUAGGGAGCGGUCUGCAAAACCGCGUACACGGGUUCGAUUCCCGUCGUCGCCUCCA
This 75-nucleotide transfer RNA is filed under the name Chloroflexota bacterium. RNAcentral's name for it is "tRNA-Cys". It matches the Rfam family "tRNA". From Rfam's summary of the family: Transfer RNA (tRNA) molecules are approximately 80 nucleotides in length. Their secondary structure includes four short double-helical elements and three loops (D, anti-codon, and T loops). RNAcentral also lists the same sequence under 3 other names. Lineage: Bacteria; Bacillati; Chloroflexota. The record is from RNAcentral.